Molecule: long non-coding RNA, 430 nt
Filed under: Fukomys damarensis (Damara mole-rat)
Lineage: Eukaryota; Metazoa; Chordata; Mammalia; Rodentia; Bathyergidae
Description: lncRNA (ENSFDAG00000026076.1)
Source: RNAcentral
GCUUCUUUUGUGAAUGGGGGGGGGCAUCCUGCAUGACUCUACGAUGAAACAAGACAGUACAGGUUGUAUGAGGGCUGGGCUGAAAGCUUCAGGGAUUUCAUUUAACUAAUGUUUUUGAAAGGUUAAUAGCUAGAAGAGUUCUUGUAAGACACAUCUAAGUAAACUAUGGGAAAGAAGUGUAUGUUAUUUGUGACAUUAAUUCCUAAUCCACGGCACAAUGAGUCACUUAUUCACCAGAGAAGAAUCUAACCUAUUUGGGAAAUGGAACUUUCUGAAUAUUAACCACCAUCUAUCCCCGGGAGAAAGUGAUAACCGGAACACAAAAACAGAGCUUGUCCCCUCGGUGGUAAAGAAGAAAAGUACGAGGAGCUUUGUGCUGGAGCUCAAAUUCAAUUCUUCCUCAAACCUUAACCUCUUGCCUACCAGGUGA